UACGUAGGUGGCAAGCGUUGUCCGGAAUUAUUGGGCGUAAAGCGCGCGCAGGCGGGAUAUCAAGUCUAUCUUAAAAGUGCUGAGCUCAACUCAGUGAGGGGAUGGAAACUGGUAUUCUUGAGUAUCGGAGAGGAAAGUGGAAUUCCCAGUGUAGCGGUGAAAUGCGUAGAUAUUGGGAGGAACACCAGUGGCGAAGGCGACUUUCUGGACGAUGUCUGACGCUGAGGCGCGAAAGCCAGGGGAGUGAACGGG
RNAcentral lists this ribosomal RNA (252 nucleotides) under uncultured bacterium. RNAcentral's name for it is "partial 16S ribosomal RNA". It matches the Rfam family "Bacterial small subunit ribosomal RNA", at positions 524 to 776 of the family's 1533-position model. The record is from RNAcentral.